UACGUAGGGUGCAGGCGUUAAUCGGAAUUACUGGGCGUAAAGCGUGCGUAGGCGGUCUUUUAAGUCAGAUGUGAAAUCCCCGGGCUUAACCUGGGAACUGCGUUUGAAACUGGAAGGCUAGAGUGUGGCAGAGGGGGGUGGAAUUCCACGUGUAGCAGUGAAAUGCGUAGAUAUGUGGAGGAACACCGAUGGCGAAGGCAGCCCCCUGGGCUAACACUGACGCUCAUGCACGAAAGCGUGGGGAGCAAACAGG
This 253-nucleotide ribosomal RNA is filed under the name uncultured bacterium. RNAcentral's name for it is "partial 16S ribosomal RNA". It matches the Rfam family "Bacterial small subunit ribosomal RNA", at positions 524 to 776 of the family's 1533-position model. The record is from RNAcentral.